RNAcentral lists this long non-coding RNA (1759 nucleotides) under Triticum aestivum (bread wheat). RNAcentral's name for it is "long non-coding RNA (TAES_LNC021720)". The stretch from base 1194 to 1330 matches the Rfam family "MIR1120/MIR1122 microRNA precursor family". The record is from RNAcentral. Lineage: Eukaryota; Viridiplantae; Streptophyta; Magnoliopsida; Poales; Poaceae.
UCACAGUUUUACAACUACUAAAGAAAGAGAAAACAAAUUCAGUCCUAUCAAGAGCUAGAUAACCUGAGCACCUAACCAGCAUCAACCCACCCUACAGCCAACAAAGGCAAUUGGGCAGCUAACACCAGGUGCACAGGAAGCAAAAGCAGCGCAACUCAACGGCGCAGCUGUGCACAUCAUACAUAGUUCCAGGUUUCACAAUCGACAACGGAGUCUGAAAGAAACAAGUUCAGAUAGCGAUAAAAUCGACAUCCAGCAGACCAAGGACAUUCUGGACAGCAGAAGCUUCAUCGUCGUGUAGAAGAAGCAUCAUCCACCGCAGCAGAUCUCCUCAACCUUGGAUACAAGGCACACCAGAAGUCCACCCUUGCACUGCCUUGAACACUUCAUCUGCUGUUUGUUCUAGAACCUUUGCCACCCACUUCAGCUUUUCUUGGUUUUCCUGUGAUUUCUGCAAAAUAGUACAAUCACUCAGCAACCUUGCUAUCAUAUUAAUGGGUCGAUAAUUUUCUUAUUAUAAAAAAUGCUUCCAUUCCUAAUCCUCCAAAUAGCCCAGAGAACAACAGAAACACGAGCAAACAUUAAUUAGGUGUUUAUCAGUAGAGUGAAACUUUAUGUAUCCAGUUUCCAAGCAAAGCAUAAAUAUUGUCAGGUAUGUCUAGCAGAUUAAAAGCACAUUUAACUAACAGGCUUGCUAGAUUAAGUGUCCUUAUUAUCAGAAAAUUCUACAUCCUAAACAAUCCAAGCUCAUGGCAAAGAGGCAUGCAUAAUCAAUCAACUCACCUUGUGGGAUUUUUUUUUUUACUAAUCUGAACAUGCAUGAACAUGUGAUCCUGGAAAAUGAAUUAAUGAAAACCUCACCAAGAAAUUUUGGAUAAUGCUAAAGAAAAUUAGAGAUGCAGUAUAUGAAGUGAAGUUUAUACCUAUAAAUUUGGAUAAUUAAGAAAUAUGACUGUCUAUCAGAUGUGCUGCUCCAUCAGUAUAAUGUAGCAAAAAGAAGUUCUAAAAAUAAAGGGCCUAAGGAAAAGGUCCCCUCUUUCAUUGCAAUCUCAUAAAAAUCCUAAAAUUGCAGUGCCGUAUUAUAAUUAGGAUUGCCGAAACAAAAUGCAAUUACUCCCUGCAUCCCAAAAUGUAAGUCCUAUUUGUUUUGUCUCGAAGUCUGACCAAGUUUAUAGAAACAAAUAUCAAUAUCUAUAAUACUCCCUCCAUCCGGAAAUACUUGUCAUCAAAAUGAAUAAAAGAAGAUGUAUCUAGAUGUAUUUUAGUUUUAGAUACAUCCUUUUUUUGGUCCAUUUUGAUGACAAGUAUUUUCGGACGGAGGGAGUAGUAGAUAAAUACACUAUGAAAAUAUAUUUCAUGAUGUAUCUAUUUGUAUUGGUUUUGUUUUAUAGAUGUUAAAAUACUUUCUUCUACUCCCUCCGUUCGGAAUUACUUGUCUCGGAAAUGGAUGUAUAUAGAACUAAAAUACAUCUAGAUACAUCCAUUUCUACAACAAGUAAUUCCGAACCGAGGGAGUAUAAACUUAGUUGAACUUAAAAGCCUUGGCUUAAGGAAACUAAACAAGACUUACAUUUUACUCUGGGCGUAUAAAUCUAACCAAAUUGAAGACAGAGGAUGGGAAAAGGAGGGAGCUCAACAUUAGUCGAUACCUUGAAAAAUCAGUCAAUAAUGUUGACUCUGGGGAUUGAGUUAAUCCUUGCCCACGUAGGGCUUGUCCUAUCAUGUAGCUCCUCCAUAAGCGUGGGGUGGCAUCCUUUCA